Long non-coding RNA from Corapipo altera (White-ruffed manakin), 1179 nucleotides. RefSeq lists it as uncharacterized. Lineage: Eukaryota; Metazoa; Chordata; Aves; Passeriformes; Pipridae. The transcript is spliced from 4 exons. The record is from RefSeq and is a predicted model, not a curated record.
GGUGCUGGCCCCGCUCCUCGGUGUGUGGGCUGUGCCAGGGCACGGUGCUGUGCCAGGAGCCGGUGCUGUCCCCAGGUGAUAGUGCUGUGCCAGGGAAUGGCCUCAGCCCUCCUCAGAGCAGCGUGCUGGGUGCUGGCCAGGUGCCACCGCCCCUGAACGCCGCGCGGCCCUGCCGCGGUCUCUGCCUCGGGAAUCUCAGAUGGAGGAAUCGAGCAGAAUAGGUGGAGAUUUGCUUUCAGAACUGAAGUUCAGCAGGACUUGGUUCUCUCCAUGAGUGACAGAAUCCUUCACAGUGAGUUCCCAGCAUAUUGAAAACUUUCAAAGGAUGAAAUGGAUUGGUUUGGCAGAUCUGGAGAGCCUGAAUUAAUCCCCUGGUUAGAGCAUUUGAGCACUGCUGAUGUGGAACAGCACAGCCAGCAAUGUAAAGUUUGUUCUCCUCUACCUUGUUCAGUUCUGGCUGAUUUUAGUGUUCUGUACAGUUCACCCAGCCCUUUUCUCCUCCAUAUGGGCUUCAUUGAGAUUCAGCUCAAGGCCAGGACUUCAACACUUUUACAUCCCAAAGCUUAGUCAGAAGUGAAGAUUCCACAUUAAAAAAAUACAAAGGUUUAGCUCUAAUACAGUACAAAUAAAUAUUUGAGCUACUUGUUGUACUUCCACUCAGUGACUCACUGCUUUACAAAUGCUACUGGUACUACUGUCACAAAAUAAACCACAUGUUCUUGUGGGGCAGGUAGAAAAAUAUUUUCUUAGCCCUUUUACAGCAAAGUGGUGAACUUGAGCACAAAGGAGUGAAAGCCUUGGUUUCGGGGAGGGAUUCGUCACUCGGUGUUUCCAAAGGUGCUGAGGAUUUAGGAUUUCGGAUGUUCAGAGAGGAUUUACCAGCUGAGGAGAACGAUUGCUGGCCCUGCACAGCUCACACAUUGAGGAGAUGAGACAAGGGAUGGCUACAGAGUAUUGAGAGGUACAAAGGGAUACUGCUCAGUUCAAGUGGUCAUUGUACUGAAGGGAAUUUUACAGUGAUCUCUGAGGGAGGAAAAUGCAAUAGUUUUGUAGAGGUUUUCAAGGAACGUGCCCCAGGCUGAAAUGACAGUUUGGUGAAAAUGAAGGCUCUGGGUUGGAAAACAAGACAAAUGAACAAUUAGACAUAGUUACUCCAUGAUCUAGGAUGUGAGACAGCAA